This 496-nucleotide ribosomal RNA is filed under the name uncultured bacterium. Its description in RNAcentral is "bacterial SSU rRNA". It matches the Rfam family "Bacterial small subunit ribosomal RNA", at positions 28 to 516 of the family's 1533-position model. The record is from RNAcentral.
GAUGAACGCUGGCGGCGUGCCUAACACAUGCAAGUCGAGCGUGAUUAAGUGGAGUGAGGACUUCGGUCUGAGUGAAACUUAUGAAAGCGGCGGACGGGUGAGUAACGCGUGGGCAACCUGCCCCAUACAAAGGGAUAGCCACUGGAAACGGUGAUUAAUACCUUAUAAGUCGGUAGUCUCGCAUGAGAUAGCCGACAAAGAUUUAUCGGUAUGGGAUGGGCCCGCGUCUGAUUAGCUAGUUGGUGAGGUAACGGCUCACCAAGGCGACGAUCAGUAGCCGACCUGAGAGGGUGAUCGGCCACACUGGAACUGAGACACGGUCCAGACUCCUACGGGAGGCAGCAGUGGGGAAUAUUGCACAAUGGGCGCAAGCCUGAUGCAGCAACGCCGCGUGAGUGAAGAAGGCCUUCGGGUUGUAAACGUCUGUCCUAUGGUAGAAACGAAAUAGACGGUACCACUGGAGGGAAGACCCCGGCGUAACUACGUGCCAGCAGCC